AGCGAACGCUGGCGGCAGGCCUAACACAUGCAAGUCGAACGAACCUUUCGGGGUUAGUGGCGGACGGGUGAGUAACCCGUGGGAACGUGCCUUUAGGUUCGGAACAACUCAGGGAAACUUGUGCUAAUACCGAAUGUGCCCUUCGGGGGAAAGAUUUAUCGCCUUUAGAGCGGCCCGCGUCGGAUUAGCUAGUUGGUGGAGGUAAUGGCGCACCAAGGCGACGAUCAGUAGCUGGUCUGAGAGGAUGAUCAGCCACAUUGGGACUGAGACACGGCCCAAAAUCCUACGGGAGGCAGCAGUGGGGAAUCUUGCGCAAUGGGCGAAAGCCUGACGCAGCCAUGCCGCGUGAAUGAUGAAGGUCUUAGGAUUGUAAAAUUCUUUCAUCGGGGACGAUAAUGACGGUACCCGGAGAAGAAGCCCCGGCUAACUUCGUG
This 434-nucleotide ribosomal RNA is filed under the name uncultured bacterium. RNAcentral describes it as "partial 16S ribosomal RNA". It matches the Rfam family "Bacterial small subunit ribosomal RNA", at positions 29 to 507 of the family's 1533-position model. The record is from RNAcentral.